Molecule: ribosomal RNA, 460 nt
Filed under: uncultured bacterium
Lineage: Bacteria
Description: partial 16S ribosomal RNA
Rfam family: Bacterial small subunit ribosomal RNA
Source: RNAcentral
CCUACGGGUGGCAGCAGUGAGGAAUAUUGGUCAAUGGGCGCGAGCCUGAACCAGCCAAGUCGCGUGAAGGAUGACGGACCUAUGGUUUGUAAACUUCUUUUAUACGGGAAUAAAGUGAGGCACGUGUUGCUUUUUGUAUGUACCAUAUGAAUAAGCAUCGGCUAACUCCGUGCCAGCAGCCGCGGUAAUACGGAGGAUGCGAGCGUUAUCCGGAUUUAUUGGGUUUAAAGGGUGCGUAGGCGGUAAAUUAAGUCAGCGGUGAAAGUUUGGGGCUCAACCAUCAGAUAGCCGUUGAAACUGGUUGUCUUGAGUGUAUGAGAGGUAGGCGGAAUGCGUGGUGUAGCGGUGAAAUGCAUAGAUAUCACGCAGAACUCCGAUUGCGAAGGCAGCAUACUGGACUUUAACUGACGCUGAUGCACGAAAGUGUGGGGAUCGAACAGGAUUAGAUACCCGUGUAGUC